AUUGAACGCUGGCGGCAGGCCUAACACAUGCAAGUCGAGCGGAUGAGUGGAGCUUGCUCCAUGAUUCAGCGGCGGACGGGUGAGUAAUGCCUAGGAAUCUGCCUGGUAGUGGGGGACAACGUUUCGAAAGGAACGCUAGUACCGCAUACGUCCUACGGGAGAAAGUGGGGGAGUCUUCGGACCUCACGCUAUCAGAUGAGCCUAGGUCGGAUUAGCUAGUUGGUGAGGUAAAGGCUCACCAAGGCGACGAUCCGUAACUGGUCUGAGAGGAUGAUCAGUCACACUGGAACUGAGACACGGUCCAGACUCCUACGGGAGGCAGCAGUGGGGAAUAUUGGACAAUGGGCGAAAGCCUGAUCCAGCCAUGCCGCGUGUGUGAAGAAGGUCUUCGGAUUGUAAAGCACUUUAAGUUGGGAGGAAGGGCAGUAAGUUAAUACCUUGCUGUUUUGACGUUACCAACAGAAUAAGCACCGGCUAACUUCGUGCC
RNAcentral lists this ribosomal RNA (487 nucleotides) under uncultured bacterium. RNAcentral describes it as "bacterial SSU rRNA". It matches the Rfam family "Bacterial small subunit ribosomal RNA", at positions 30 to 509 of the family's 1533-position model. The record is from RNAcentral.